This 1232-nucleotide long non-coding RNA is filed under the name Cyanistes caeruleus (blue tit). Its description in RNAcentral is "lncRNA (ENSCCEG00000008088.1)". The record is from RNAcentral. Lineage: Eukaryota; Metazoa; Chordata; Aves; Passeriformes; Paridae.
CCAGCACAACACUCCACAAGUCUUCCAACAAAGCAACGAAGAAAAAACCAUGUGUUCCUUCUGCAGGAGACUGGGAGGAGAGACCCCACAAGGAACGAGCAGGGACAGGAAGGUGCAAAACAAGGACUUAGACACUUAUUCCACCUCUCCUGCUGAAAGCAACAGAGCACAACCACCUGAAGACCUCACCUCAAACCUCAUCCAGAGCUGGGACUUGUCCACAAACCACUGAAGUUUUCUGUAACCUUCAGAAAAUGCUGAAGCCUCCUACAGCCCCACCAGUUUGGGAAUGUGGAUGACAAACUCUGCAGGUUGACCUUUUGCAAGCUCUCCCCUCAUUAAAAGCAGAAGCUCUGACCAUCCUCCCCAGAGCCAUGGCCUGAGGGACUGCAUCAGUGACUGAACUCCUCGGUGCAUCCUUUCAGAAAGAUCUGGCAGACCUGGAGCCCCCCCUGGAAUUUUUUCCCCCUCACAGAUGCCCCACUGCUGUGGGUACCAAACUAGAAAUGGAGCCUCUGAUCUACUUCAGCAGAGAACAGCCUGAAAAUUUCCUUCCUCCUUCCAACAGAGCAACUUCCCAAAGCAAAGCAGUCUCCAGCCAAAGGAGAAGGAGCAAAGAGAAGCAGGGCUUUGCUGUUAAGACUCACUGAGCUGCACUUCCAGCUGAAUUUCUCACAAAUUCCAGAGAAAGCAGGAUGGAAACUAUGGUUUGGAUGGGAAGGGACUUCAAAGCUCAGCUCAUGCCCCUUUCCAGUGUCCCAGGUUGCUCCUGGCCCCAUCCAGCCUGGCCUUGGACACUUCCAGGGAUGGAGGUCACUGUAACAGGUUCCCAAGGAAAGGAGCUUUGAGAGAUGAAGCUCAGUGAGGAGGGAUAACCCCAGGAAAGGCUGAACCCCUCCACCUCCCUGCAGUGCUGGGGUAGGCCAUGAAUUACAGGAGUCCUGGAACCCCCAUGCCCAGGGCCUCCCCACCCUCCCAGGGAACAAUUCCUGCCCAUUUUCCCACCUUUAUCUCCACCCUGUCAGUUCAAAACCAUUGCCCUUAUCCUGUCAGAGUGCAGCAGGACUGAUCCUUCCCUGCUUCAGCCACUUCUCCAGUGCCCAAACCAUCAGUGAAGCACAAAACCCUUCGUGCUCUCUGCCCCUGGGGCUCGCCUGCCCUCCUUGGGGGCACGGUUCAGCCUCCCCAGGAGAAUGAGGGUCCCCAAAACAGCCACAACAAACUAAGUAUCA